RNAcentral lists this ribosomal RNA (231 nucleotides) under uncultured bacterium. Its description in RNAcentral is "partial 16S ribosomal RNA". It matches the Rfam family "Bacterial small subunit ribosomal RNA", at positions 104 to 334 of the family's 1533-position model. The record is from RNAcentral.
GGGUAGCGGAACACGUACGCAACCUUCCUUUAACUGGAGAAUAGCCCCUCGAAAGAGGGAUUAAUACUCCGUAACAUCCCGACAUGGCAUCAUGACGGGAUUAUAGCUCAGGCGGUUAAAGAUGGGCGUGCGCCUGAUUAGAUAGUUGGCGGGGUAACGGCCCACCAAGUCUGCGAUCAGUAACUGGUGUGAGAGCACGACCAGUCACACGGGCACUGAGACACGGGCCCG